AUAGAACCAACACUAGCAAACUCAACAUCAACAAUGUCGACAAACUCUAGCACUACUGUCCUUGCCUUUGCCUUUUGUUUCUUGUCCCUCCUCAGAUUGGCUUACUCCAACACCACUGACGACAAAAUCUACCUCACCGGCCUGGUCUACUGUGACAACUGCCAAUUGAAGUCUAUGACCGAGAUCAGUAAGAUGAUUCCAGGUACGUAACGUUAAUAAGUAGGUAACAAACUACAUAAAUGUGGAUUAUAAGAUUUGAAUAUGAGAUUUAUGCAUGCAUGCAUGCACAUUGCCCAUUGAUCAGGUGCAAGGGUGCGAUUGGAGUGUAGGGAGGGCGGGAACAUAAAAUCCAGACGAGAGGGCGAAACCAACCCGCUUGGAAUGUACGUGUUUGUGUUGGAAAAAUCUAAGGAGCCUUUGGAUGAUUGUCAAGUGACAGUGCUACACAGCCCCGACCCUGAAUGCAAGAUUUCCCACGAGGUCGACCCUAACAACAAAUCGAAAACUGCGCCGGUGGCCACCCGGAAGCUCAACCUUUUGGAGGGAGACAGCGUCGUUUUCAUCGGACCAAGCCACCGCGUUUCCUACCCUCUUGGUUUGGUCGUUGAGAAAGCUCGUCCGGAGUGCGAGCAGUUCGCCAAAGCACGCAAGCAUUUUCAGAACUAAUUUAAGGAAUUGAAGACUAAAUGAAGGCGAAAACCGUCUGAUAUUAAAUCAAUUUUCAAUUUCAGUGAAUUUUUAUUUUUGAUUGCAAAGAUAGAUAAAUUGUGGUUUAAGAAAUCAACAGUUAUGAUUAUGAUAUAUGCUCGGUUAUGAUUCGUGAAUUCACAACUAGUAUAAACAAAGAAGUGUAAUUAGAAGUGCACUCAAGUAUUAUAUCCGUGAAGAUACUGCCAUGUCGAUUAAUCUAGUCUUUUUAUUUUUUACUUUAUUAAUUCUUAAUUAAGAUUCAAUUUAGGACCUAUUUAAAGAGAAGAAAAAUAUGAUUUAAAAUCUAUCUUAUAACCUAAUAAUCUCCUAAUCAAAAUACUAAACUUUUAACAUGUCACCUAUCAAUUUUGCCCUUAAUUAUACUAAGCUUAAAUUCCAUGGUCCAUACUAGUUUGAUUUUUAUUUUUUAUUUUAAUGUGAAAAUUUGGUCUUUUCUUUAAAAUAAUGUGCUAGAUAAGCGUGAAAGUAGCAAAUAAAUAAUGAUGUGUUCACAUUGGAUUUGACACACAUCUCAACCCAUAUCAUCAUUAAGGCCCCAAAAAUUGAAUCAUUAUGUGCCGGUUAAUACGUUAAGUAGUUUAUGAAGUGAUUAAGAUCAAAGGGGAUCCAUGACUUGUAAUGGAUCACUUGUUCAUUUCCUUAAAAAAAUAAUUAAAUAAAUAAACUCGCAAUACCGACUCCAUUCGUAAUUCCAUCAAUUACUCAUCUAUCAAAAAAAUUAGUUAGUUCAGCUAAUCUUCUUAUACUGUUAGUAAAGGAUAAUGUGAAAUUAGCAAAAAAAUAAUGAUUAACGGCCCAAAACAUUGAAUUAUUGUGUGCCUAAGUUAGAAAAUCUUCGAAGGCACGUAGAAAGACAGGUCCCCCAUCUAGUAUACUAUGAGGAAAAGGACGGCUCACAAGAAGUUUAUGUACUAUAAAAUCCCAGAUGCUCAUUGAAUGUCUUGUGCCCAUCCAAGAUUAAAUAUAUUUCCAUAGAAUACGUACCAAUUGUGCUUAUUUACUUUUUACCAUGGCUCUCACAAAUCGAGGCCAAUACCUCUACGUAGAUUUUCUUUUCAUUUUGGCCAUUUGCUCCUCUCAAGCAUCGUCUCGCCAAAUUUAUGAUGAGAAAACCAUGUUGGCGAGACAUGAAGACUAGAUGGCUCAAUUUGGGCCAGUUUUUUUUAUAAGGAUGCAGAGGAGAAAGAGAGGUGAUUCGUGAUAUUAUCAAGGCCAACUUGGAGUUCAUUGAGGCUUUGAACAAGCACAUGGGUCAGAACUACUUCACUCUAGACUAAGCUUAAAUGAAUUUGCAGACCUAACCAAUGAGGAGUUUCGGGAAAUUCGUAAUGGUUACAUGAAACGAUCCUCCAAAUUGAUCAUGUCCAAUUCCACGAAAGCUACAAGUUUUGGAUAUUGAAAUAUCACUGAAGUGCCACCUUCAGUGGAUUGGAGAGAAAAGGGUGCAGUGACGCCUAUCAAGGACCAAGGCAAAUGUGGUAAGUAUUAAACAAGUUGUUAAAUGAUGACGCAUUCACUGUUUCACAACAUAACAUGUUCUUGAAUGAUGAGGCAUGUUAUUUCAAUUUUAUAGGGUGUUGUUGGGUGUUCUCAGCAGCGGCAGCGACAGAAGGGGUUAACCAGCUCAAAACCGGAAACUUAAUCUCACUAUCAGAGCAAGAGCUUGUGGAUUGUGACACUACAGGUCAAGAUCAUGGCUGUGAAGGUGGUCUAAUGGAUGACGCUUUCCAAUUCAUCCAACGCAAGAAAGGCUGACAACUGAAGCUAAUUGCCCCUACCAGGGUGUAAAUGGAACUAGUUGCAACACUCAGAAGGCUGCAUCCCAAACAGUGUCCAUAAACGGCUACGAGAAUGUGCCUAAAAACAACAAAAAUGCUAUGUUGCAAGCCGUCGCUAACCAACCAAUUUCGGUUGCCAUUGACACAAGUGGUUGUACAUUCCAGUUUUAUUCAAGUGGUGUGUUCACUGGAACAUGUGGUAUAAACUUAGAUCAUGGUGCGGGACUAGUAGUGAUGGGACUCUAAAUACUGGCUGGGGAGGAAUUCUUGGGGCACGGUGGGCGGAGAGUGGAUAUGUGACGAUGCAAAUGGGCAUUCCUGCCAAGGAAGGACUCUGUGGCAUUGCUAUUGAAGCUUCUUAUCCAACCGCAUGAUUAAUUAAAAUACAUAUAUAUGUCUGUAAACACGAAUUUCCUGCGACAAAUGAGAAAAAAACACAUAUACAAAAUAAUAUUUGUAUUAAUGAAAUUUAGGGUUACAAUCUCUGUAUUGAAUCCUCUGAUUCGAUCUCCAAAGUGUUUAAAGAAAAUUUGCGAUUGAUAGAAGGGUCGUAGAGACUUGAUCUUGAUCAAACGGGUAGCACAAGGCUUGUUUGGUGUUUGGAUUUUUCUAGGAUGGAGGAACCGGCACAUAUUUGUUGUGCUUGAUGGCUCUUCCAAAGUGAGGUGAAGAAUGCAGAGAGUUUUCUGUUUCUUCUGAAUGCUUUGUCUGUCUAGGCCCCCUUCUUUCGCCUUGAGGCCUCCUAUUUAUAGGCUCCUACAGGAUGCUUGACCUAAAUAGCUUUCCUUUUUUAGGACCCUGCUUUGUGGAAUUCUGAUUUGAUUUAAAAUCAAUUCCAAUAAUUUGGCAAUUUAACCAAAUUAUCUUUGAUUGAUUGACUUGAUUAAUAUUUGAUUUAAAUCAAAGUCAAUCACAGAAGAUUCUUUCCUUUAAUUUUGUCUUCACUUCGAACUGUUUGAUGCACUUCGUCGGAUGUCAACAUGUAUCACUUUUGACAACUAAUCUGAAUUUGAUGAGUCGUACGCCACAUGAACUAAUUAUGGGCCCCACAAUUUAAUCAACCAAACCCUAAUUAUUUUCUUACUUAGUGAAUUUAAUUCACCAAAAUUUCCAUGUCUACAAUGUCAUAAUAUAGUGUGUUGUAUAAAAUAUGUAUAAUUGAAUAAUACAGAAAGACGCUAGCUAUGAGCUGCUAUCCUUCACUUUGAAAUCCAUGCCUCAGAACAUAGAGACAAUUAACCAUGACGUGGAUUUGCUCUUAAAAUCUCACGCAAUUAAUUAGCAGCUCUAGCUAUGAGGUUGAAAUGUUUUCAAUACCAUUGCAAGGUUAAAUCAAGUUAGAUUAAGGGAGCAUAUUUUUGUUCAUCAUCAUUCUCAAUACUUGACACGUGUCUAUUAGUAUAAUCAUGAUUCCUUAAAUUUAUACAGCAAAGAAUUAACUAUGGUUAUGCCAAUGAACACGUACCAAGUGUUAAGAUGGGGGGUGGAUUGGAUCUAAUGUCUACAACUGUAUUCAAUUUAAUUAACUGUAGGAUUCAUUUACAAGGCGAGUGGAAGGAGUCAUCAAUUUUGAAUUAACAAGUUUCUACUUUAACGUAUAACAACUAUGUUCAUAUUUAUUGGCUGGAUAAGUUGUUAUAUUCAGCCCAUUACUAGGAUAAUGUAUGCACUUAAGAUCCAAGUGCUUUGACUUUUGUGCCACAUAAAAUUACAUUCUUUUUCUAAUAUUUUAUGAUGUAAAUUUUUUAAUUUUUUAAUUUUGAAAUCAUUUUUUGGUCCAAUAUUACCCCUUAUGACUUGAAUUGGGUAAUAGUCAUUUAUGUCAUAUUGCCUAUUACUUGUUGCAUAGGUAUAUAUAUGUCUUUUCAUAUUUUCGACAAUGUGUCAUAGUAUUUUAUGUACCUUUUUUUAAUAGGUAACAUACAAUUUUAUUUUGUCUAUUUUUGUAUUUGACUUAUACGUAGUUUUCUAAUUUAUGUUUCUAACUUAUAGAUAACACGAUUUAUCACUCAGUAUUUUUCGUUGCUAAUAAUAACACUAUUUACCUGUAUGUCAGGUACAUAAUUUAAUGUCGGUGCUUGUCUGAUAGAUUAGUAUAAUAUGUGGGUCUUUACUUUUUAUUAAUUAAAUUGUAUUUUAUCCAUAUAUUAGGAAUAUUAUCAAAGAAAGAAUUUAUAUUUUAAAUUCUGAAAUUCAAUUACAAGGAAAUAAUGCAUUAAAUUUAGAUUUUCAAUGUGGUUUCCUUAUUUACCUCAAAGAGUAAAAUUGACACAACAAAAAGAGUAAUAAAUGUCAAAGGACCUACAUCUAAAACCAAAAAAACGAGGACUAAACCCAAUGGCCGCUAAUCGUUUUGGACCUAGAUCUAAGAAACACUUUUAUUUAUUAUCUAACAUCAUUGCAUGCCAUUGACAGUGUGCCUAUGGAUGAGGAAGAGAAAGUUGUGCUUGACUGAUGAUUGACGGAAACUUCCGCAAGUAAAUCCUCAAUGCUACCAGUUGAAGGCCCUUCGAUGCUAAAGUUAGCUUAAGGGGAUGAGAGCAAGCUAUCGACAAUGCAAGGACAUAAGUGUCAAGUAGCAAGUCUUACCCUGUAUCUGGGGUGAGGAGCUAUAUUUAUAGGGAGUUCUAGGUUUUUUUUGGUACUUAGUUUCGAUGUGGGACUCGUGGGAGUGCCUUCCGAGGCAGAAACGCGUCUCAACAAAUAUCCUAGCGAUGAACUCGAGAACAUCCUACAAGAUGCCUUCUAAGGCGUAGAAUUGGCAAAAGACCCUUAAGGUUGUGCGUAGAAUCGAUCGUGGGUGUCGAAAAGACCUACCGAUUCGUACUAUUGGGCUUGCCAGCAUGGGCCAUGGAGCCUUCUUUAGUGUCAUACCCCUUCCACGUGUCAUGGCAUGAGAUGCGGGUCAGGUUAAAUUAAUUAAACCCAUUAUGCAAUGCAUUUCCUUUCAAUUUUUUGUGAUAAACUAAUAGAUAAUUGACUAAAUAAACAUCCUCCAAAGUUUAAAAAAAAAAAUACCAAGUUUUUCUUACAAUUUCUGUAGUUUUUAUUCAAUUUUUAUCGAUAUCGAUAAUAUCCCUAUAUUUCCAUCGAAAUUUCCGUAUUUUUAAAAUGAGACACACCUAUUUUCAAUUGACUACCUAAUUAGUUAACAAAUUAUGAAAUAAAUAAAUAACAAACCAUACAAUCAUGUUUUGAUUCUAAGAUGCUGACAAGUAUGUAUGUUUUUGGGAAAAUAUAUAUUAGGGAGAAGAUAUUAUUGUACCACAUUAUGAAUCACUUUUCUGAUAGAUAUGAGACCUACUUAUAUUGGUAGGUCAUACCUUUAUUAGAGAGGUGGUACAUUAUGCAAUACAAUGAUGUAGUUUCUCCAACAUUACUUUUAUCUUUAAUCAACAUGUAGAACUGUUUCGAACUUGGAAUUGCUUUCAACAUUGGGCUACGUGGGCAGGAAUUCUAGGCUUGGCUUACAAUUCUCUCAUUCUCCAACCUCUUGGAUUUGCUUGCUUGGAUUACCUUAUUGCUGGCUCAUUUGGCUUCAGUUGAGCCACAUUUAGUGCCAAAUCAAAUCGCAUCUUUGUCAUGCCUUUGGCCUUCGAAUCCACUAUGACCUAUUUUGCUCUUCUUUCAACAGUAGUCAUGUUUGAUCCAACCUUGGCUAAGGUUUGAUUCGGCUUAGCUAAAUUUGCAUUCACCAUGUUGGUCUGGGCAGAUGGGAAAGGGUCCUUGUUGAUUGGACUCUUGUCACCCCCAAUUCGAAAAUAAAGAAUAUUCCUGAAUUAGGGUACGUGAAUUGAAUGAAAUAAAAUAAAAAGACUGAAAAAUUAGUUAAAAUACAUUUUUCUUAUAUAAAAAUAAUAAUAAACUUACAAGUGUACAAGAUAUAAAUCUUUUUUAUUUAUUAUCUAACAUCGUUGCAUGCCAUUGACAGUGUGCCUAUAGAUGAGGAAGAUAAAGUUGUGCUUGACUGAUGAUUGACGGAAACUUUCGCAAGUAAAUCCUCUCUAGCAUAGCUUGUGCCGGAAGUGCAAUUGAGGAGCUAUAUGGGUUUGGUGUUGUCUGAGUGUAUUAAGAUGUAUCAAUGGUAUUUUUGGUAGUUAAAUAGGAUGUACUUAGUUAAUUUUACAUUUUAAUUUAAAUAUUAGGGUGUACUUAAAUCAUAGAGUGUACUCAAUUAAUUUUAGAAUUCGUUUAACCACACUCUAUUAUUAUUAAUAGUUUUCUAUCAAAACAAACCCUUAAGGUCCUUAACUAUUGGCUUGCAGCCACAUAUAAUUACUGUGGUGACCUUCUCGAAUGAUCAAUUUUUAUUCAUUUAAGUUGUUGAUCAACUGCUGCAGGCAAGUUAUUCUCCUGAACUCGAGUCCCAUCAAGAGCGGGUCAAGGGGGUGAGUAAUUGUGUCAAUUCCACAUGUAAACAAACAAAGGCUCACAAACUCUCCAAAAUAUACGCAUUCUUUGCUUCUUUUCCCUUUAUAAGAAGAAGAAAGCCCUGUCUAAUUCAUCAUCAGCAAUACAUAGAAUAGAACCAACACUAGCAAACUCAACAUCAACAAUGUCAAGAAAGUCUAGCACUACCGUCCCUGCCUUUGCCUUUUGUUUCUUGUCGCUCCUCAGUUUCGCUUACUCCAACACCACCAAUGACAAAAUCUACCUAACCGGCCUGGUCUACUGUGACAACUGCCAAUUGAAGUCUAUGACCGAGAUAAGUAAGAUGAUUCCAAGUACGUAACGUUAAUAAGUAGGUAACAAACUACCUAAAUGUCGAUUAUAAGAUUUGAAUAUGAGAUUUAUGCAUGCAUGCAUGCACAUUGCCCAUUGUUCAGGUGCAACGGUGCGAUUGGAGUGUAGGGAGGGGGGAACAUAAAAUCCAGCCAAGAGGCCGAAACCAACCAGCUUGGACUGUACGUGUUUAAGUUGGACAAAUCUAAGGAGCCUGUGGAUAAUUGUUAAGUUGAAAACUGCACCGGUGGCCACCCGGAAGCUCAACCUAUUGGAAGGAGACAGCGUCAAUGUCAUCGCACCAAGCCACCGCGUUGCCUACCCUCUUGGUUUGGUCGUUGAGAAAGCUCAUCCCGAGUGCGAGCAGUUCGCCCAAGCGCGCAAGCAUUUUCAGAACUAAUUUAAGGAAUUGAAGACGAAAACCGUCUGAUAUUAAAUCAAUCUCCAAUUUCAGUGAAUUUUUAUUUUUGAUUGCAAAGAUAUUAAGGCACGUAGAAAGACAGGUACCCCAUCUAGUAUACUAUGAGGAAAAGGACGGCUCACAACAAGUUUAUGUCUAUAAAAUCCCAGAUGCUCAUGAGCCAGAACUACUUCAUUCUAAGCUUAAAUGAAUUUGCAGACCUAACCAAUGAGGAGUUUCGGGAAAUUCGUGAUGGUUACAUGAAACAAUCCUCCAAAUCGAUCAUGUCCAAUUCCACGAAAGCUACAUGUUUUGGAUAUUGAAAUGUCACUGAUGUGCCAUCGUUAGUGGAUUGGAGAGAAAAGGGUGCAGUGACGCCGAUGAAGGACCAAGGCAAAUGUGGCAAGUAUUAAACAAGUUGUUAAAUGAUGACGCAUUCACUGUUUCACAACAUAACAUAUUAUUGAAUGAUGAGGCAUGUUAUUUCAAUUUUAUAGUGUGUUGCUGGGCAUUCUCAGCACUGGCAGCGACAGAAACUUAAUCUCACUAUCAGGUCAAGAUCAUGGCUGUGAAGGUGAUCUAAUGGAUGACGGUUUUCAAUUCAUCCAACGCAACAAAAGGCUGACAACUGAAGUUAAUCACUCCCACCAGGGUGUAGAUGGAACUAGUUGCAACACUCAGAAGGCUGCAUCCCAAACAGUGUCCAUAAACGGGUCGAGGAUGUGCCUAAAAACAACCAAAAUGCUAUGUUGCAAGCCGUCGCUAACGAACCAAUUUCGGUUGCCAUUGACGCAAGUGGCUGUACAUUCCAGUUUUAUUCAAGUGGUGUGUACACUGGAACAUGUGGUAUAAACUUAGAUCAUGGUGCGGGACUAGUAGUGAUGGGACUAAAUACUGGCUGGGGAGGAAUUCUUGGGGCACGGUGCGGGGAGAGUGGAUAUGUGACGAUGCAAAGGGGCAUUCCUUCCAAGGAAGGACUCUGUGGCAUUGCUAUUGAACCUUCUUAUCCAACCGCAUGAUUAAUUAAAAUACAUAUAUGUCACACUUUUCUAACCAAAUUGUGAAGUGCCCAUGUAUUUCUUUCUCUGUAUUUUUCUAAUUUUCCUUUUCUCACUAUCAUUGCUACCCUUUCACAUCUUUUAUUGUCGUACUUCGAUUUGUAGUGAUAAAUUGCCGUUCAAAUUUUCUUUGUGUGUAUUUUUAAUAAAUUACAUUUCAUUUUAUUUUUUCCAUGGAUUGAUGUUCAGUAGAUAGUUUUAAUAUAAUAUGUAAAUAAUAUAGUACAAAAAUUAGAGAUUUUGUAUCAAGUAAAAAAUUAGUUUCAUUGUCACCCUAAAGAAAAAUAUAUUUCAAUAUAUAAGGUGCCCCCUAUGUGAAAAUUUUCUGGCUCCGCCACUGUCCAGGUUACCUUUUGCGUGAUCAUACAACAAACAUCCAAAAAUGCACCAAUCUAGUUAAAAUUCAAAACAAAUUUAAAGAUUUUCACAUCUUAGUUAAAGGAAAUUCAUUGUUCCUGUGCUUCCUACGCACACACAAUUUCCAUGAAUCAAUUGACAAUGUGAUAUUAACGUUACCAUAUAACAUUUUCAACAUUAUCAUCUCGUCCUAGCAUUCAAGUAAAGAAAAGAAUACACGUAUACAGAGAUUAUUGAUGUCUAAAUUUGAAUCAACGGAUUAAGACCGUAAAAACGACACAUUCACAUCAUGACACACACUCAAGUCAAGCUACGUCCAUAAUAUACAAUUAGUAAACUGAAUUAUAUGAAUCUACAAGUACGGGAUAUAAAAGCUACAAGCCCUACAUGCUACAAUAUAUGUCCUAUUUUUGGGUCAACUGUUCCUUAUUCUCUUUCAUAGUACAAUCGAGUUUACAUGUUAGGAUCCUAUCGGGGAUAUUAAACGCUGAAAAGGAAAUAAUCAAUUCUCAAUAAGCCCUUAAGAUCGCCUAACCAAGACACAAGCCUCAUAUAUAUUGUGGGAACCGAAUUAAAUUAGAACCCUAGGUCAAAUAAUUCAUUCCAUUUGAGGAUUGUUUGACCUAAUUGGGAAUUAUUCAACCUAAUUGGGAGUUACUCAAUUUAAUUAGGGAUUACCCAAUUAAAUGGAAUGUUACCUAAUUAGGUUGAGAAUUGAUUUGAUUCCUAUCACAAUUCCCAAUUAAAUGAGGAGUUACCUAAUUAAAUUAGGAAUUGAUUUGAUACCUACCACAAUUAGGGAUUUGAUUUACCCUUAUUAAUCAAAUCAAUUCCAAAUUGGGGAGGAAUAAUUUCAUUCCAUCUACGGAAUUAUUCCUCUGAAACCCUAGCCUCCAAGACCACUAUAAAAAGAUGGCCACACACAAGGGUUGAGGUACGUCUGAAAUUUCUACGGAAACUCUGUAGAAAAUUCCUCUCAAACCCUAGCCACCUCCUCUCUCCCUCUCUUUUACAUAAGGCUACGGCCACCCGGUUUACACCAUAAACAUAUCUCCGUACCCUAUUAGCUAUUGUUUUUUAUAUGAUUCAAUUGAACUAAUUUAGGCAUCGGAGGGCCUUUGGCCAGCACCCCCGUGUGUGGUCCUCUUAUUUGUUCUAUUUUGCAGGGAGAAAGAGGCGGCGAAGAAAGAAGGAGAAUCUUUCCAAUCGAAUAUUCUCGUAAGGAAAUUUGCUCCCAUAAAUUGGUGCUUUCAAUGAGAGCACAAGAUAUACUCAAAGUGUGCUCCAAACUUAUUUUCCAAUCCACCGAAGCCUUCCAAACAACCAUGGUUGGAAGCAAGAAGACGAGAGGUAAAACCAUAGCGAUGGCUAAAUCCGCCACGGCCCAAAGCCACUCCACCCACUAUCCCGCGAUCGAUAUGGUGGCAUCACCACCUCUCACCACCGUGCCACCCACCGGACUUGCAGCUGAAACCACCGCACCUGCCACCGCUGCCGAGCAUGGUGGAACCUCCCAUCAAGGUGGGCUCAUUACCACCGCCAACCUAGGACCAAUCUUGGAGAAACUUCAAGCAUUCCCUCCAUUGCCUCCACGCUCGACGCACGCUCCCGCGUACACCUCCAAAGAAACCCUAGCCCGUGUGCGAAAAGCUGGGCCCAUGACUUGACAUCUGCUCUAGCCUGGGCUCGCAUGGAAAUGUACAUCAAAGGUUAGGCCCCUAGGGAGAUUAGCCAAACAACCAUCGCAAAGAGGAUCGUGAAGAAAGAUGCUCAGCUGUCUGCCCGCAGAGGAGCAUUCAUGAAAGGCUAGGUCCCGAGGGAGGUCAACUGGAUAACCCUCACAAUGAGGACCAUGGGGAAAGGCGCUCUGCUGCAAACUCUGAAAGAGUUCAUUCUUGUCGACAAGCUACAGAAAAUCCUUCACAAGCGCAGUCCACACGCCUCCUAGGCAGCGCAGGCUAGAAGGUCGACCCUCGAAAAUCAAUGAGGAAGUCAGUCAGCAUGGCCCAAAUCAUGAAGGUCGCCAACGUGGCCGACCAGCAAUGUGUGCGGAAAACAUUGAGAAGCUUGUAAAUGACCGACUUUGAGACUUGAAGACCGGCGAAAAUUUCGAACAUGCACUACGUAAGGAGAUAGACUAGACAAACUCUACACCUUUCACUGCCGAAAUCGAGCAGGCAGCAACCCCGAAGCGAUUCUCAACGCCUACCUAAAACACUUCAAAAGUGUCAUGAUCCUCCACAAGGCCGACAACACACUAAUGUGCAAGGUGUUUGCGAUGACCUUGCGAGGAGCCGCCCAAGACUAGUUCCACACUCUACAAUCCAGGUGGAUCAGCAGCUUCAAGGAGCUGACUUAGGUAUUCACUAAAGAAUACACCUCUUACUGGACAAUCAAGAAGAACCCUGACCACCUGUACAACCUGCACAAGAAGUCCGACAAAUCCCUUCGAGAUUACAUCAAGAGAUUAAAAGCAUAAAAGGCCAACAUUGUAGGAUGUGACGAUUGAAUUGCGUCCUCUGCUUUCAAGAAAGGCCUUCCGACUGAGCACGAAUUGUACCGCGAGCUGACCAUCACUCCCAGCUAGACUCUGGCAGAGAUCUACGAGGUUGCGGAACUCUAUGAGCUCUGGGAUGAUGAUCGAAUCGCCGCAAAGAAGUCUACUAACCAAGACGAUCAGCCGACUAAGCAGGCAGGCCAAAGAAGCGACGAAUUUAGCAACAAGAAAAAAGACAAGCGUAGGUCGCACCCACAAGGGAACACUACGGCAGGAGAGAACUACAUCAAAUUCACCAUCCCCAUACAUUAAAUCUUAGCCCAAGUGAAGAACGAACCUUGGGUAAGAAGACCACCACCCUUGAAAGGAGAUCCGGACAAGAGGGAUGCUAGCAAAUACUGUGCCUUCCAUGGGACGCACGGGCACACCAUGAACAACUUCUUCGCUUGGAAAGCGCAUCUUGAAGAACUCGUGAGAGAAGGUCACUGCACGAAAUUCAUUGCGAAGCAGGCCAUCCAGCAGAUUGAAGAUCGUGACACCGCCAAGGAACCGCUCUAAAAGGUCAUAAGAAUUAACACAAUCCUAGCCAACUCCGAGGAGUAUGGGCUGACCGGGAAGGAAAAGAAGAAGAAGAUCAAACAAGCCACCGUGAUCUCCCAAAUCUCGACCGACCUUCCACUAGUAAAAGACGAUCCUGUAAUCGGCUUCCAAAAGAAAGAUAUGAUUGGCCUCGACAUGCCACAUAACGAUGCCCUUGUCAUCAGCAUUCAAAUCGCCCAGGCCAUGGUCGAUUGAAUCCAUGCAGAUGAGGGCAGCGCAACCAAUAUCUUGCAACUGGCGGUCAUCCAGCAGAUGGGCUUGGAGGCAAAGAUCAACAAAUCAGCCAGAUCGAUGACCGGCUUUAAUGGUGCAACAACGGUUACCGUGGGCACGAUAGACCUCGACGUCUACUCCCCACCUGUAAUCAGCUUGUAAACAUUCAGGGUCAUUAAUGAGGUCUCACCCUAUAAUGGCAUCAUGGGCAGACCAUGGAUUGGCAAGAUCAACGCCAUGACUUCUGCCACACAUCAGAAAAUUCGAUACCCAAUUCCAAGGGGCAGUGUCAGCCAAAUCAACAGCGAUCAUGCAAUGGCGAGGAAAUGCUCCGCCUAAGGGCUGAAGAAAAGCAAACAAGCACAAUUCCUCCAGGUGAGCCAGGCAGAUCUGAAGGAGGUUGAACAACCGAAUCUUGCUCCCUUAUAGCACUAAAAGCGUCAUGACCAAAUCGAGGACAUCUGUCCAGAGGUCUCUUCUGAAGAAGGAUGGAAACCUGAAGAGGACGUCGAGUUAAUACCCUCGGAUCCUGACCAGCAAGACAAAAAAGUGCAGAUCGGCUCGCGCCUAAGCCCAGACGAGAAGGUGGAGCUGACCACCUUCCUCCAGAACAACAAAGACAUGUUCACAUGGUUGCCGUCAGGUAUGCCUGGCAUCAUCCCGAACAUCAUCUGCCAUCGACUCUACGUCAACCCUACCAGCAAGCUAGUGGCACAUAAAAGACGCAACUUCGCUCCCGAGCGGGUCGCUAUCAUCAAUAGCAGAGAUUGACAAACUGCUAGCUACCAGCUUCAUCGAAGAGGUCUCCUACUCGGAGUGGCUGGCCAACAUUGUUCGGUGGCCAAACAAGAAAAAGGCAAAUGUAUAGUCUAUGUCGAUUACACAGACAUCGACAGAGCAUGCCCUAAAGACAAGUUCCCAUUGCCGAGAAUCGACUAACUCGUGGAUUCCACUUCUGGCAAUCAGCUGCUCAGCUUCAUGGAUGCCUACUCCAGCUAUAACCAAAUCCUAAUGCACGAGGAUAACAAGGCAAAAACCUUUUUCAUCAUCUAGAGAGGAACCUAUUGCUCCCUUUGGACUGAAGAACGCCUGAGCAACCUACCAAAGGCUCGUGAAUAAAAUCUUCAAGGAGCAGAUCAGCAAAACCAUGGAGGUCUAUGUGGACGACAUGCUGGUCAAAGCCCCAAAACGUGCAGAUCACAUCAAAAAUCUCGCUGAGACAUUCAGCCUGCUUCACUAGUAUUGCAUAAAGUUGAACCCGAGUAAAUGCACAUUUUGUGUAUCCUCCGGCCGAUUCUUAUUAUGCCUAGUCACACAACGCGGUAUCCAGGCACACCCACGUCAAAUCAAAGCCAUUCUCGAGAUGAAGUUGCCUUCCACAGUGAACAAAAUACAAAUUCUGACGGGCAGAGCAGUGGCCCUCAACCGAUUCUUCUCAAGAUCAACCGACAAGUGCAGACCAUUCUUCAAAGCUUUGAAGCAAUGUCAAAGAGACAAAUGGGAUGAGGAGUGCGAAGUAGCUUUCCAGAAUCUGAAGAAUUAUCUCACAUCACCUCCCCUGCUCUCAAAGCCAGUCCCCGGUGAGGACUUGUUCGUGCACCUGGCAGUGUCCAACUCAGCUGUCAGCUCAGCUCUCAUCCGAGAAGAGCUAGGGGCCCAACAUCCGAUAUUCUACACGUCAAAAGCUCUCCUCAAUGCAGAGACUUGCUACCCGAAAUUGGUAAAGCUCAUUCUAGCUCUUAUAGUUUCCGCGAGAAAGCUGCAACCCUACUACCAAGCUCAUCAAGUCAUCGUCAUGACCGACUAUCCUUUGAGAUCAAUCCUCUUUGGCCCUGACGCUUCUCAGCGACUUAUGAAGUGGGCUACAGAGCUAAGUCAAUAUGACCUCCUCUAUCGGCCAAAAACUGCAAUAAAAGCCCAGGCUUUAGCUUUAGCAGACUUCGUCGCAGAAUUUACCCCAUCAGAUGAAGAAGAGAAGCUGGUCAACAAAAAGGAAAGUUUGAAAGUAGACGGAACCUCUACUGAACCUAGCCAACCCAGAGACAUGUGGCAAUUGUGUGUAGACGGAGCGUCGAACCAAAAGGGAGUUGGAGCAGAUGUGGACGUCAUAGUUGGAACCAAGGAGCUGAAGAUUGCAUUUUUUGUGGUAGACACAACUUCUACCAUUUACAAUGCAUUGCUUAGCAGGAACUGGUUCCACCAAAGCUUAUGUGUUCCUUCCACUCUGCAUCAGCAAUUGGCCCUUUGGGAUGAAGAAGGUGUCAUAGAGAUAGUAGAGGCUAAUCCAUGGCCAUUUCUACCAUCUGCCAUGUGUUUUGAAGCAAGGUAUUAUCAUGAUGACCUUGGUCCUUUCACAUUCUUCGGAGUCAACCACAACGGCCGCCGCCAUGGUGUCACGACCCAGAGACUCAUUGAAGAUGGCCUAGCCAAUUCUCUAGAGGACUAGAAUAGACCUUUUGUUCUGAACCUCCAGAACUUUGAUGUUUACUACCAAUCAAUAAGAAAAGGAUCGAGCUGCAACAAUCCGAUCCAUUACAAAAAGAUUAUUGAUAUUUUGGGAAGAAAUGAAGCUCUUCAUGCAGAAUCCAACCAUGGCAGAAUUCAUCCAUGAGAGCACUGAAGAACAGGAAGAUAGUUUAUAGGAGGAAGUACUAGAUUUUGCACCAGCAGCACUAGAUGACUCUUUACCGGAAAUGGAAGAUCCGUUACAGGAGAUAAACUUAGGGACAUAAGAGGAUCCAAGACCCACUUUCAUUAGUGUGCUGUUAAAAGAGCCACUCAAGGGUGAAAUCAUUGCCAUGAGAUGCCUGGACUGGAUAGAGAAUUGGUAGAACACAAGUUGCCAAAAGGAUACCUUCCAGUCAAACAGGCCAAAAAAAAAUGUCUAUGGAAACUGAACUGAAAGUUAAAGAAGAGAUAGAAAGACUGGUUAAAGCAGGAUUCAUCAGACCAGCCAUUUAUGCUGAUUGGCUAGCCAAUAUUGUGCCGGUUCUGAAAAGAAAAACAAGGGCAGUUAGGAUCUGUGUGGAUUAUAGGAAUCUGAAUGAAGCAACUCCUAAAGAUGAAUAUCCUAUGCCAAUGGAAAAUCUGCUAGUCGAUGGAGCUGCUCAUAGCCAAAUGCUAUCUUUUAUGGAUGGAAAUGCAGGAUAUAAUCAUAUUAUGGUGGCAGAAGAAGACAUCCACAAGACAGCCUUCAUGUGUCCAAGACAUAUAGGUGCUUUUGAAUACACUGUAAUGCCUUUUGGCUUAAGAAAUGUAGAAGCCACUUAUCAAAGAGCAAUGAAUUCUGUUUUCCACGACAUGAUUGGUCAUUCUUUAGAAGUUUAUAUAGAUGAUGUGGUGAUUAAGUCCCCAGAAGAAGGAGAUCAUGUGUCAAAUCUAAAAAGAGUAUUCCUAAGAGUGAGACAACAUAAGUUGAAAAUGAAUCCCAAGAAGUGUGUUUUUGGAGUUCAAGCAGGAAAUUUCUUAGGUUUCUUGGUCCACCAAAAGGGCAUAGAGAUCGAUAAAAAUAAAGCAAAAUCCAUCAUAGAAGCUCUACCAUCCCGGAACAAGAAAGAACUGCAGAGUCUCCUAGGAAAAAUUAACUUUCUAAAGAGAUUCAUAUCCAAUUAUUCAGGAAAAAUCCAGCAUUUCUCCUCCUUGUUAAGGUUGAAGCAGGAACAAACAUUCAAGUGGGAGGAACAACACCAGCAUGCUUUUGAGGAAAUCAAAUUCUACCUCUCAAAUCCUCCAGUUCUGUCCUCCCCAAAGAGAGGCAUACCACUCAAAUUGUAUGUUUCGGCAUUAGGACUGUCCAUUGGGAGUCUGCUCGUUCAAGAUAACAAGGAAGGGAAGGAACAAGCAGUCUAUUAUCUAAGUAGAACUCUGACAGAAGUAGAAAGGAAAUAUUCUGCAAUUGAAAGACUUUGUCUAGCCUUAUACUUCACUGCUGUAAACCUGAGACACUACAUGCUACCAUUCACCAUCUACAUCAUUGCCAAGACAAACCUAAUUAAAUACAUGUUAACAAGGCCAAUGUUGAGGGGCAGAAUUGGCAAAUGGACUUUGGCUUUGACAAAAUUUGCUUUCAGAUAUGUUCCUUAGAAGGCUGUCAAAGGACAAGCUGUAGCAAAUUUCCUAGCAGAUCAUCCAGGAGAAGAGAUUGAAAACAUGGAUUCUUUGGAUAUAGCAAAUGCAGAUCUGUUGACUAGAGCUCAUACUUGCCUUAACAAUCCCAUCUAUUAUGUUCACCUCACACCUUGGAAGCUGUACUUUGAUGGAUCAAAGACUGAUGUAGCCUCUAGGGCAGGAAUUGUUUUAGAUGAGCCACUAGGGAUCAGACACUAUUAUUCUUUCCAGUUAGAUUUCCAAUGCACCAACAACAUAGCUGAAUAUGAAGCUUUAAUCAUUGGCCUUGAGAUGCUGGUGGAAUUAGGAAUCCAAUCUGUGGAAAUCUUGGGAGAUUCUAUGCUUGUGUUGAAACCGAUUGCUGGAGAAUACAAAUGUCUAAAUCCUUCUCUAGCUAUCUAUCUAGUGGCAGCCAUAAAUCUUCUGACAGAAUUCAGGGAAGCUACUUAGGAACAUAUCCCAAGGGAGGAAAACUUCUCAGCCAAUGAAAUGGCUCAGAUAGCAACAGGGGUUCAAAUGCCUGAAGACUGUGUGCAAAGGAUCAUUAAGGUAGGAAAGAAAAGUUUACCAUCUGUUCUGGCCAGAAGGAUGGAGAUAGAUGUCAAUUCUGCCAUAAUCACUGAAGAUGACUGGAGAAUUCCCAUCAUAAAUUCUUGCAAUAUCCAACCCUGCCUUCUGAGAAAAGAGUCAGAAUCAUGACUUUAAAUUUCCUUAUGUGAAAUGGAGAUUUGGUCCGAAAAGCAAAGAUGAGGUACUUUUGAGGUGCCUGGGAAAGAAAGAAUACAUGAAGGUCAUGGGGGAAACCCAUGAAGGAAUAUGUGGAGCUCAUCAAGGUGGAAGAAAAAUGUGCUGGUUAAUUAGAAGGUAUGGCUACUUCUGGCCAACCAUAAUGAAGGAUUGCAUUGACUAUUCCAAGGGAUGCGAGGCUUGUCAAAAGCAUGGUCCAAUCCAGCGAGCUUAUUCAGUUCCCAUGAAUCCAGUAGUUAAGCCAUGGCCAUUCAGAGGAUGGGCAAUGGAUCUCAUUGGCAAAAUCUAUCCAGCCAAUAGCAAACAACACUGUUUCAUCAUUGUAGCUACAGACUAUUUCACUAAAUGGGUGGAAGCCAAAACUGUUAAAUCCACUACAUCUCAAGAGAUCAUCACCUUCAUAGAAGAACAGAUUAUACAAAGGUUUGGCAUUCCAUAAUCAAUCACAACUGACAAGGGAUCUUCUUUCAUGUCUGGGGAGAUGCUAGAUAUGGCACAAGCUUUCAAAUUUAAGCUACUUCAAUCCACUCCUUAUUAUGCUCAAGCUAAUGGACAGGCAGAAUCAAGUAACAAGGUGAACAUCAACAUUAUCAGGAAAAUGCUUGAGAAAAAUCCAAAGCAAUGGCAUGAGAAGUUAUCAGAAACUCUUUGGGCAUAUAGGACUUCAAAGAGAGAAGCAACUGGCAUGACCCCAUAUGCUCUAACUUAUGGUCAUGAUGCAAUUCUGCUUAUGGAAAUAGUAGUCCAAUCUCUUAGAAUUGCUCACCAACACAAUCUGACUGGAGAAGACUACUCUCAAGCCAUGCUGCUAGAAUUGGAGGGAUUGGAUGCAAAUUGAUACCCUCAACAAACUCUUAGCAGGGAAACAGGCUAUGUCAAGGGCUUACAACAAAAGAGUUAAAAACAAGAGUUUUGAAGAGGGAGAAAUUGUCUAGAAAGCAGUUCUGCCCCUUGGAACACACAUAGUUGGUUAUGGAAAAUGGUCACCUACAUGGGAAGGGCUUUUCAUAAUUAAGCAAAUCCUUGGAUUAGGGGCAUACAGAUUACAGGAUCGAGAUGGAGACAUCCAUGCUACACCUAUCAAUGGCAAUGGUUGAAGAAAUUCUACCCAACUAUGUGGGAUUCACAGGCUGUGCAAACCAAUCCUGGGAUAGAGAGGGAACGAGAUGGAAAUGUUGUUUAAAGUUUUUUUACAGUGUUGUGCUUCUAAAUAUAAUAUGUUAAAAGCAUAUUUUGUCUUCUGUUUUCUUUCGUUUUAUUUAAGCAAGAGAUUGAAAAAGCAAAGUUCCACAAAAUAAAUAGCUUUUAUUAAAUAUAGUCAUUUUCAUGACUAAAGUUUUAUUACAUUCAAAAAUUUAAAAUUAAAACCCUAAUUUCCUAAGGGUUUCUUGCAAAUUGGUCUUCUUGAUCGAAAGUUCCUUUUGGAGCAGCACCCCCUGGUGGAUUGAAGCCUCUGCAAUCUCCAAUGCUGGCAUGGAAGCUGAAACCAUACUCUACACAAGGAAGGUAGCCUUGGUCUUGGAACUCAGUCCAACCCCGAGCCUGUUCUGCACCUCCCUGCAUUCUGCCAACUGCUUUUGAAGCUCUUCAAUCUGCUUCUCCAGCUUAUCUCCAGUGGCCUUAGCUUCCUUGUAUCCUGCAACCAUCUGGUCCUGUUUUGCCUUCAGUUUUGCGUAAUCAACCAAAUUGGCUUCAUAAGUAGCCUUGCAGAACUCAGAGGUUUUGAAAGUGGACUUGAGAUCCUCAUAACAGUCGUGAAGGUUGAGCACAUCUCUAGCCAAACCGAGGCUCAUCUCAAGUAUAGGCUUAGGAGCCAUGUUCUGUCUGUGCAGUAGGUCCAGAUCCUUCAUCAAUUGAUCAACAGCUUCCCUAUUCUCAUCCAGUUCCAGUUCAGUGGAUUGCCAAAUCUUCACCCUCUCCAUUGCCUUAUCCACCGCCUUGGACUUGGCCUUGCCAAGAGUGGAGCUGAGCUUCUCUAGUUUGUCCAGCUGGGCAUCUAGGUCCAUGGCUUCAAACUCUGCCAAUUCUAGAUGAGCAAAAGAGCCUGUGGUAGAUGAACUUGGAAGAGAAUGGAUGGGCAUCUGCAAAAAGAGAUUGUAAAUUAGCGCCAAGUAGAAUCAGAAAAGAAAGAGGGGCAAACGCUUACAACAACAAUGGGAGGCUUCAAAGGACUGGUCAUCACUGCCAAUAUCCCAGCAGUUCUGGGCACUUCUACCUGGAAAGACUGAUCGUUAGAGAAGCAAAGAUAGGACAGAACUGUAGGAAAUAGACAUACAUAGUUAAAAUAAAAAAUUACCACAAGUUUAGGAGCAACGGCAGUUACCUUCGCUCCAGCAUCUGGGGCUGCAACAGAAAGUUCUACCUGUUCCAUAGGUUCUGAAACAGAUGGCUCUGCCUACUCCAUAGGCACUUGAAUUGCAGCAAAAUGUUCUGCCUCCACAUCAUCGAAUAGGGCCAGUUCUGAGCUUGUGGGUUCUGCCCUCUGAGCUUCUUCUUGUUGUUUAGCAAAGGCAAUGCUUUCUACUAUCACCUCAACAAGAAUCUCCUCCUACAAACAGACAAAAGUCAGAAGUUAGAAGAAGAACUGACCCAAAAGUUCAUACAGUAAUGAAUAGAGGCUCGCCUCUUCUUCAAACUCUUUGUUCUUCUCCUUUAACGGGACAUCCCCUUCUUCUUGCUCCUUCUCAUGCUCUACAGCUUCAAAGGCCUCCCUUAGUUCUUCAUCUGUGUCAGAAGUGAUUGUAGGAGCUGCUACAUGUUCUUCUGUGGCCACGUGCUCCACCACAGUCCUUCUUCUAAGUCUUUUUGACUUAGUAGGAAGAGGAGGAGGACUUUCAACUGCAAUAAACAGACAAAAAAUGGUUAGAGCAUGAGUCGAAAUUAGGCAAGAUAGAACAGAACAAAAUCAAGAGGACACAAACUUUCAAAAUUUACCUGAAGUCGCAGGCUGAACAACACCACCAUGGACUGAAGCAGUCUCUUUUCUUUUGUUCCUUCUGCCAGAAUGAGUCGCCUCAACAGCUAGUUGUUCCGCAAGAGUUUCAUCCUCUUCAUCCCCAGAGGAAAGCUCCAAGUCUCCGACAGCGAUGACAGAAGUGACUGCACAAGAAACAAACAAGUCAGAAGUCAAUCCAGCAGAAGAAUGAUAGGAGGAACAGAAUCAUGGAAAGCUUACUAAUCACUUCUCCAGCUUGGAAAAAUUACCCUCAUAUGUUCUUUGUCAGAGAAGGAUCUGUUGUAGGCAGAACAAAACGUUAGAAAUCAUCACAAAAGUAGAAUAAGCAAAGCACAGACAGAACCAAGAAUUUACCUUCUAUGGCUUGAGCAUUAAUAUCUUUCAUGGUCUGCACCAUGAAUCUAUGGGUUUCCUCUCCUGCGUGAACAGUCCAAGAGUCCCAACCAUCAAAUAGCACUUUUAGGGCAGUGCUCGAGGCAAGCAAACCAUGAAAUCUGGCCUUCCACCAAAUGUCAAACUCAGCAGAACUGCAGGAAUUUGGUUCCCAGGAUGGAUAAAAGAGCAUCUGCACUAUUGUUUAUCUUGUUCACCACACAUCUAGCAUCCUUAUGCACCUCCAGGUCAUCUGAAUCUCUCCAGGAAGAGGCCUGAUUACACCUUCUAUAUGAUUUAAGUGGAAUGAGCUGACGGCAGCCAAGCUGUCUCGCGCAGAAGUUAGGAUGAUAGACUUCUGCCCCCAAAUGAUAAUUUAGAGGCUUUCCACCUCCACACGGCAGGUCUCUUGGUAGGGUUACGCUCAGGAACUUCUUCCUGAAGCCAAUUCUUCCUCUGGUUCCUUCUCAAAUAAUCUGAAUCCAGGUUGAAACCAAGGGUAUGUUCUUCUAAUCACCACCUACCACUGAGCUGCAGAUCUCUUAGUGCAGUGCCUAAAGAACAUCAAGUACUCUUUAAUGGAAUACUUGGGCACUUCUACCAACAUCAGGGGAAGAGCCAGAACUUGUUCUUCAGGUAGAACUAUGUCUGGAAAUCUCAACUCUGGAAAGUAGACUUGCAGCCAGAUCUGGAUCAUCCAGAACGCACCAGGAGCAGACAGGUUCAAAGGGUUCUCCAGAGUGGCAGUAUGCAAGUUCUUGAACAAAUGAGCCAGAACUGUGGGUCCAAGCCCUAUGUCAGUAUGGUUGUGCAGAUCUUCUGCCAAAUGCCUAUACUCAAGCAGAACUGUUGAUGAGCGGGUCGGGAAAAUAAACCUGUUUAGCCAGUAUAAAAAGAACAACAUGUGCUGCUGAUCCUUGUCCUUCUCGGAACUAAAUUUCUUCGGGUAGUUGGAGAAAGAGCAGUUCUGGUUAAUGGUAGCUGGAGAGAUGGUGAAAGGCUUCACUAGCUUUUCCUGAUUCUUUCUCUUGUGGUAAUCACCAACUGCAUCCACAGGUCUUCCAUGGGGUCUGAACCAAAAAUCUAAGCCAUAUCCAGCAGAGUUAGAGUCAUUGGGCCCAGGCGAAAGUCGAAAGUGUUGCUGGCAGAAUUUCAGAAGCACAGAGUAGUAGCCAGAAGGUUCUUAUCCCUAUUUAUCGGCUGCUUGGAUAGAAGAAUAGCGUCAUAUAUGCCAGCCCUCUUCCAGUGAGCUCCAUAUCUAGGAAGGAGCCUAUCAAUCUAGUCUACCCACUUCACUGGACUGUUCCUCACUUCGCUCGAGGGAAACGAGCGGCUCAGGUUCUUGCUAACCCAAGUAUGGGAUGCUAAGGUAGAAGAGCUCUGGAAACACAACGGAGCUUCAGCGUCAUCUUUAAACAUAGCAACCAUUUCAGUAGGGACAUAACCGAACCAAUAAGGGCCUAUAACUAGGGUAUUCUCGAACAAAUGAAGGACAUUCUCCUCCAUAUUUUUCUUGGCAAAAUGGUGGAGCUUGCUUCUGACCUCUAUCACAUGGUUAUCAACCCCAGUACCAGUGAUGUAAUCAGGAGGAAUUGAAGAAGAGGAACCUUGGACACGGGUUGUUGGAGAUGACAUUUUCAAGAGUUCGAGUUGGAACAGAGGAAGUAAGUAGGAAAGGAUCGAGGUCUGAUCAAAAGAAAAGGGCAAAAGGUUCUGAGAAAUUGGAAACAAGUACGGAGGAGUUAGGUUUUCGGAUGAACAAGAGCUAGGGGUUUGAAUUUCUUUUAAAAAGCUCAGAAGAAGGCAAGGCGUCAUCCGUUGAUAGCUAAGCUAGUAGCUCGCUAAUAACUACCCAGUUUCCCACGAAGCCUAGCUCAGUAGACAAGACGUGGUAGACGUGGGUUAAUUGAAACAGAAGAGAGUGGCACGCAAUAUUAAAUGGCCAAAUCGAUUCAAUCUGAACCGUUACAAAUUGGAAACAAUUUCCAGAAAAACAGUUCAGAUUCAAGGGGGCAUUGUUUGGACCAACAAAUUACGGGCCCAGCCCAGCAAUAGGAGCCCAAGAAGACAAAACUCAGGACCCAGGCAGUUUGGACUAGAAUUGGAAUCGAGGGCCAAAAGUUAAAAAGCCCAAACCCAAGUCAGAUUUUUUACCAGAACCCAAAAACUGGAAGGAAGCCCAGUACAUACGAAUUGCUCAGCCCUGCUCAGCCCACAGCCCCAAAACUCAAAAUUGAGCUUAACAUGGUUAAAUGAAGGUAGAGAAAAGCCCAAAAUUGAAGAAACCUAAAGCAAUUUUAUCAAAAUUGCCAGCUCUCUACCCAAGUUGAAAAAAGGGGCCAAAACACCACUUUAAGCAAGAAGUGACGCACUCAGCCUUGAAUCACAGAGGAACCCACGUGACUAUCUGACUUUGAGAGGUAAACAAUUUCAACUUGUCACAGGAGAAGUUGAUUGGGAAUUAAUGAAGACGGGAUUUCAGAAAGACUUUUCUGAGACUCUGCAGCUAAAAGAUCAUACUCCCUUUCUAUAUAAUUCUGCAUUAGAAUAGGUGGUCUUCCCAAAAGAUAGGCAAACUACGAUUUCAAGAGAUAAGUAGAGGGAGUUGUUCAAACAAGAAAAGUAAACUAACCAUCAUGGUAGAUUGUUUUCUUUCUCUCUACGAAGAGCAACAGGGGACAAAGAAGAGUUUGUUUUUCUUUCAGAAAAAGCAAGGAAAAGACCUUCAUGAAAACUGAUCAUUGAUGGUUCUUCUCUGCCAAAACAGAUGACUUCCCUUUUUCUUUACAUUUAAAAUAAAAGAUCUUGCCUUUUGAAAAUUUGCCGCCCAUUAUUAAAAGAUUAGAAAGCCCCACUCCAGCAUUUUCUAUAAAUAUGAGAGGAGGUGAACAUAUCAAGGGACAGCCAAAAAAAUAAUCAAAAAUAAAAACUCAAAAUGAUCACUUGAUCUCAAAAACCUUCAAAACACUGAAGCAACCAAAAUCUCAUUGAGCCACAAGAAAGAGGCCAGCUACAAAUAAAAAAAACUUCUAGUUUCAAACUUAGAGAAAGAGUCAUUCAAAACGAGAUUUCUCUCGUUACAAAUUUAGUUCAGCAAAAGCCUAAUCAAGCAGAGUCUGGGUUUCUACAAAUAGACAACCUCAACAAAUUUAUGGAGAGCCCUGAUCAAGCAGAACAGGUACCACAGUGCAGUUCCAGCUUAGUAAUCCUCAAGUCUAGCCACUUCUGCCCUUUUCAAACUGAAGAGGCUGCAAUUUUGCCAGUUCAAAAAGCCUUCCAGGGCUUGAAAUAGAUUAAAGCUCUACCAAACUCGAACGUUCGUAUCGAUGUACAGCUAAAACUUAGCAGUUGAAGUUGUUGACAGUCCAGUCCAGCACAGGAACACCCAGUCCAGCCCGGAUAAGAAACUUCUAUCCAGGCAGAAAUAGAAUUCUAGCCUUCUUUUUGUCUUUCUAGAGUUGGUUUUUUUCUUUUGAGUUUUGUAAAAGGCAGUUCCGCCUGAAAAUAGUUCACUUUCUUACUAUUUAUUCUAGCCAUAACUACCAACCUUGUACUAUGAAAAAUUGUAAAGUCCUCAUCAGUCUGAGGCAAGAAAAGAACUUACUUGGGAGAUAUUCCUCACCCAAAUUCACAAUCGUUUGUUUAGAAAUCAAUAACUUGAGGCGUAAGUUAUCUAUUUUUAAGAAGUCUGCUAGGAUUUUCAUUGCUAGUAGUGGCACGCUCGCACACUAAAGAAAGUUGACUAGUUGGCCAGUCAAUGGUUCUCAAGGCAAUGGGGAACUCUACCCUACCAUCAUAGGAACAAACAUAAAACGGGUGAACAGGACCUACAUCUAAAAUCAAAAAAGCGAGGACUAAACUAAUUAUUUUUGACCUAGAUCUAAGAAGCCCUUUUAUUUAUUAUCUAACACCGUUGCAUGCCAUUGACAGUGUGCCUAUGAAUGAGGAAGAGAAAGUUGUGCUUGACUGAUGAUUGACGGAAACUUUCGCAAGUAAAUCCUCAAUGCUACCAGUUGAAGGCCCUUCAAUGCUAAAGUUAGCUUAAGGGGAUGAGAGCAAGCUAUCGACAAUGCAAGGAGUACAUAAGUGUCAAGUAGCAAGUCUACCCUGUGUCUAGGGUAAGGAGCUAUAUUUAUAGCGAGUUCUGAGUUUUUUUUGGUACUUAGUUUCGAUGUGGGACUCGUGGGAGUGCUUUCCGAGGCUGACACGCGUCCCAACAAAUAUCCUAGCGAUGAACCCGAGAACAUCCUACAAGAUGGCGUAGAAUUGGCAAGGCGUGCCAAACACACUUACCGGCCGUGGGCUGGCCAAUGAACAAUUGGUGGAUGGAGCUGGAAGGUGUCUGCCGUUUGUAGGAUUAGACCUGCCAGCAUGGGUUACAGGGCCAUGUUGUGCAUAGAAUCGGUCAUGGGUGUUGAAAAGACCUACCGAUUCAUACUAUUGGGCUUGCCAGCGUGGGCCAUGGAGCCUUCCUUAGUGUCAUACCCCUUCCACAUGUCAUGGCAUGAGAUGCAGGUCAUGUAUGAUACAAACAAACUUAAAUUAAUUAAACCCAUCAUGCAAUGCAUUUUCUUUCAACUUUUUGUGAUAAACUAAUAUAUAAUUGACUAAAUAAACAUCCUCCAAAGUUUCAAUAAAAAUUACCAAGUUUUUCUUACAAUUUUCGUAGUUUUUAUUCAAUUUUUAUCAAUAUCGAUAAUAUCUCGAUAUUUCCAUCACACUAAUUAUCAAGGGACCAGUUGUUGGAUGACACCUGGGCCAGAUUAGAAGUGCAUUAAAUGUUUCCUUUAGUAAUUCUUGGAAACCUGUGCGAGCUAGAUUGCUUAUAGAGGCGAUCUAUGGUGGAUUUUCCAGUUGUCUUUGAUUUGCUUAUGCUUGAUUCAAUCAAGAAGUGUGAAGGAGUUAUUGUCUAAGUAUGAAGCUCGGGUGGUUUCGAUCGUGAGUGGAUAUCAUCGAGCCGACCAGAUGUGAUACCCAUGGUCUAGAGAUUUGAUCGAAUCAGUUGGUCUGCUUAAUAGACUAUGACAGGUCAGGUCAGUUCUUAGAGGUAUCUAGCUGCUUGGUCACGUGGCACCAUACUAUUGGCUCAGUGAUAUGACGUGUCAACAAAACCCUCACACCGAAAACAAAAUAGAAGAAGUUUUUUUUGAGCUAAUAAUAUUCCGGAUAAACCAUAUUCUUGAAGUUUUCUCUAAAACCAUAUUCUUAUCGACGCUAUUAAGUUGACCGAUUCGUCCAUGUAUAAUUUUGUUCGCACAGAAAAAUGAGGCACACCUAUUUUCAAUCGACUACCUAAUUAGUUAACAAAUUAUGAAAUAAAUAAAUAACAAACCAUACAAUCAUGUUUUGAUUCCAAGAUGCUGACAAUGUAUGUUUUUGGGAAAAUAUAUUAGGGAGAAGAUAUUAUUGAACCACAUUAUGAAUCACUUUUCUGAUAGAUAUGAGACCUACUUGUAUUGGUGGGUCAUACCUUUAUUAGAGAAGUGGUACAUUAUACGAUACAAUGAUGUAGUUUCUCUAACAUUACUUUUAUCUUUUAUCAAUAUGUAGAUCUGUUUCGAACUUGGAAUUGCUUUCAACAUUGGGCUACGUGGGCAGGAAUUCUAGGCUUGGCUUACAAUUCUCUCAUUCUCCAACCUCUUGGAUUUGCUUGCAUGGAUUACCUCAUUGCUGGCUCAUUUGGCUUCAGUUGAGCCACAUUUAGUGCCAAAUCAAAUCGCAUCUUUGUCAUGCCUUUGGCCUUCGGAUCCACUAUGAACUAUUUUGCUCUUCUUUCAACAAUAGUCAUGUUUGAUCCAACCUUGGCUAAGGUUUGAUUCGGCUUAGCUAAAUUUGCAUUCACCAUGUUGGUCUUACAAGUGUACAAGAUAUAAUCUUUUUUAUUUAUUAUCUAACAUCGUUGCACGCCAUUGACAGUUUGCCUAUGGAUGAGGAAGAUAAAGUUGUGCUUGACUGAUGAUUGACGGAAAUUUUCGCAAGUAAAUCCUCUCUAGCAUUGCUCGUGCCGGAAGUGCAAUUGAGGAGCUGUAUGGGUUUAGUAUUUUGUGAUGAGUGUUUAAGGUGUAUCAAGGGUAUUUUUGGUAGUUAAAUAAGAUGUACUUUGUUAAUUUUAUAUUUUAAUUUAAAUAUUAGAGUGUACUUAGAUCACAGGGUGUACUCAGUUAAUUUUAGAAUUCGUUUAACCACACUCUAUUAUUAUUAAUAGUUUUCUAUCAAAACAAACCCUUAAGGUCCUUAACUAUUGGCUUGCAGCCACAUAUAAUUACUGUGGUGACCUUCUCGAAUUAUCAAUUUUUAUUCAUUUAAGUUGUUGAUCAACUGCUGCAGGCAAGUUAUUCUCCUGAACUCGAGUCCCAUCAAGAGCGGGUCAAGGGGGUGAGUAAUUGUCUCAAUUCCACAUGUAAACAAAGGCUCACAAAACUCUCCAAAAUAUACGCAUUAAUUCUUUGCUUAUUUUCCCUUUAUAAGAAGAAGAAAGCCCUUUCUAAUUCAUCAUCAGCAAUACAUAGAAUAGAACCUGAAUUCAAGAUUUCCCACGAAGUCGACCCUAACAACAAAUCAAAAACUGCACCAGUGGCCACCCAGAAGCUCAACCUAUUGGAAGGAGAUAGCGUCGAUGUCAUCGCACCAAGCCACCGCGUUGCCUACCCUCUUGGUUAGGUCGUUGAGAAAGCUCAUCCCGAGUGCGAGCAGUUCGCCAAAGCGCGCAAGCAUUUUCAGAAAUAAUUUAAGGAAUUGAAGACGAAAACCGUCUGAUAUUAAAUCAAUCUCCAAUUUCAGUGAAUUUUUCUUUUCGAUUGCAAAGAUAGAUAAAUUGUGGUUUAAGAAAUCAACAGUUACAAUUAUGAUAUAUUCACAGUUAUGUUUUGUGAAUUCACAACUAGUAUAAAUAAGGAAGUGUAAUUAGAAGUAUUAAAUCCGUGAAGAUAUUGCCAUGUCGAUUAAUCUUGUCUUUUUAUUUUUUACUUUAUUAAUUCUUAAUUAAGAUUCAAUUUAGGACCUAUUUAAAGAGAAGUAAAAUAUGAUUUAAAAUCUAUCUUAUAAACUAAUAAUCUCCUAAUCAAAAUACUAAACUUUUAACAUGUCACUUAUCAAUUAGACCUUAAUUAUACUAAGCUUAAAUUCCUUGGUCCAUACUAGUUUGAUUUUUAUUUUUUAUUUUAGUGUGAAAAUUUGGUCUUUUCUUUAAAAUAAUGUGCUAGAUAGCGUGAAAGUAGCAAAUAAAUAAUGAUGUGUUCAAAUUGGAUUUGACACACAUCACAACCCAUAUCAUCAUUAAGGCCCCAAAAAUUGAAUCAUUAUGUGCCUGGUUAAUACGUUAAGUAGUUUAUGAAGUGAUUAAGGUCGAAGAGGAUCCAUGACUUGUAAUGGAUCACUUGUUCAUUUUCUUAAAAAAAAAAUUAAAUAAAUAUACUCGCAAUACCGACUCCAUUCGUAAUUCCAUCAAUUACUCCAUUGUGUGUCUAAGUCAGAAAAUCUUCGAAGGCACGUAGAAAGACAGGUCCCCCAUCUAGUAUACUAUGAGGAAAAGGACGGCUCACAACAAGUUUAUGUCUAUAAAAUCCCAGAUGAUGCUACACAGCCCUGACCCUGAAUGCAAGAUUUCCCACGAAGUCGACCCUAACAACAAAUCGAAAACUGCACCAGUGGCCACCCGGAAGCUCAACCUAUUGGAAGGAGAUAGCGUCGAUGUCAUCGCACCAAGCCACCACAUUGCCUACCCUCUUGGUUUGGUUGUUGAGAAAGCUCAUCCCGAGUGCGAGCAGUUCGCCAAAGCGCGCAAGCAUUUUCAGAACUAAUUUAAGGAAUUGAAGACGAAAACCGUCUGAUAUUAAAUCAAUCUCCAAUUUCAGUGAAUUUUUCUUUUUGAUUGCAAAGAUAGAUAAGUUGUGGUUUAAGAAAUCAACAAUUACGAUUAUGAUAUAUUCACAGUUAUGUUUCGUGAAUUCACAACUAGUAUAAACAAGGAAGUGUAAUUAGAAGUGCACUCAAGUAUUAUAUCCGUGAAGAUAUUGCCAUAUCAAUUAAUCUAGUCUUUUUAUGUUUUACUUUAUUAAUUCUUAAUUAAGAUUCAAUUUAGGACCUAUUUAAAGAGAAGUACAAUACGAUUUAAAAUCUAUCUUAUAACCUAAUAAUCUCCUAAUCAAAAUACUAAACUUUUAACAUGUCACCUAUCAAUUUAGCCCUUAUUUAUACUAAGCUUAAAUUCCAUGGUCCAUACUAGUUUGAUUUUUAUUUUUUAUUUUGUGUGAAAAUUUGGUCUUUUCUUUAAAAUAAUGUGCUAGAUAGCGUGAAAGAAGCAAAUAAAUAAGUCAGAAAUUCUUCAAAGGCACGUAGACAAGUCCCCAUCUAGUAUACUAUGAGGAAAAGGACAGCUCACAACAAGUUUAUGUCUAUAAAAUCCCAGAUGCUCAUUGAAUGUCUUGUGCCCAUGAAAGAUUAAAUAUAUUUCCAUAGAAUACGUACCAUUUGUGCUUAUUUACUAUUUACCAUGGCUCUCACAAAUCGAGGCCAAUACCUCUCUGCUUAGCUUUUCUUUUCAUUUUGGCCAGUUUUUUAUAAGGAUGCAUAGGAGAAUGAGAGGGGAUUCGUGAUGUUCAAGGCCAACUUGGAGUUCAUUGAGGCUUUUAACAAACACAUGGGCCAGAACUACUUCACUCUAAGCUUAAAUGAAUUUGCAGACCUAACCAAUGAAGUUUCGGGAAAUUCGUAAUGGUUACACCAAACGAUCCUCCAAAUUGAUCAUGUCCAAUUCCACGAAAGCUACAAGUUUUAAAUAUUGAAAUGUCACUGAUGUGCCACCUUCAGUGGAUUGGAGAGAAAAGGGUGCAGUGACGCCUAUCAAGGACCAAGGCAAAUGUUGUAAGUAUUAAACAAGUAGUUAAAUGACGACGCAUUCACUGUUUCACAACAUAACAUGUUAUUGAAUGAUGAGGCAUGUUAUUUCAAUUUUAUAGGAUGUUGUUGGGUUUUCUCCAGCAGUGGCAAUGACAGAAGGGGUUAACCAGCUCAAAACUGGAAACUCAAUCUCACUAUCAGAGCAAGAGCUUGUGGAUUGUGACACUACAGGUCAAGAUCAUGGCUGUGAAGGUGGUCUAAUGGAUGACGCUUUCCAAUUCAUCCAACUCAACAAAGGUUGACAACUGAAGCUAAUUACCCCUACCAGGGUGUAAAUGGAACUAGUUGCAACACUCAGAAGGCUGCAUCCCAAACAGUGUCCAUAAACGGGUACGAGGAUGUGCCUAAAAACAACGAAAACGCUAUGUUGCAACCAACCAAUUUCGGUUGCCAUUGACGGAAGUGGUCUACAUUCCAGUUUUAUUCAAGUGGUGUGUUCACUGGAACAUGUGGUAUAAACUUAGAUCAUGGUGUUACCACAGUUGUAUACGGGACUAGUAGUGAUGGGACUAAAUACUCGCUGGUGAAGAAUUCUUGGGGCACGGGGUGGGGGGAGAGUGGAUAUGUGACGGUGCAAAGGGGCAUUCCUGCCAAGGAAGGACUCUGUGGUCCUUUAACUGUAGUUUCUUUAGGACAAAUGAUCUUACUGUCAAUUUUGUUAACUUUUCUGUUAAGUGCAGGGGUAAAAUGGUAUUUUUGCAUCAAAAUUGAUUAAAAUAUGAAUAAAAAAUUAAAAUUAAACUCUCUCCUUCCCCCUCUAUCUCGAUUCUUACUCCCCCAAAACUUUAAAUUUUUUUUUUUUGGUUGGUUUUUUAUUUGAUUUUCUUUUAUUGUUAUUUUAAAGAUAUAAUUUUUUAUUCAUUUUUUUGGUUUUAACGUAAAAAUACCAUUUUGCCCUUACAUUUAACAGAAAAAGUUAACAAAAUUGACGGUAGGACCAUUUGUCCAGACGAAACUAAAGUUAAAAGACCAUGGGAACCGUUUUGGAAAUUGAGAUACUCAAAUACAAAUUUGGUCAAAAUUCAGGGACUAAUAAAAUGAUCAACUCAAAUAUAUAUAAUUGAAUAAUACAGAAUCCAUUUUGAGAGCAUUAUUAAACGAACCCUAAAAUAAAUCUAUAUUUUCAUUCUUAGUGCAAUGUGGAAAUAUCUUUAAAGAAUAGAAUUUCACCAAUAUAGCAGAGCGGUUACAUUCAACAAAUAGAAAAUUUCAAUAGUCUAGCCGAUCGGCUAUACUCUAUAAAUAGAAAAUUUUUUAAAAGUGCAACCGCAUGGCUACACUCUUUAAAUAGAAAUUUCAAAAUUAUAGCCGCCCGGCUAUACUAGUUAAAUAGAAUUUUUCCAACAGUAUAGUCGCACGGAUAUACAAAAUUGCUUUUCUCAUUCAACGAAGUAGUUUUUCAUUUUUAUUUUUUCUGUAACGGGGCGGGUCAGGGAACCAGUUCCUCAAUAAAGGUUGGUAUGGGCCAAUGGCGGAUUGAAGACCGACAUAUUCUGAAUAUGGGCACCAAUAUACCAGUCGACUAGUUCUCCUAGCCAGUGGCAGUGGUUGCGGUUGAUUUCCCCCAUGAUUACCUAUUGGACAACCUUUGCCUUUUCAGUGUCCUGGUGUUUCACCAUUUUGGCCAACCAUGGUCUCCAGUACCUCGGCCAUACUUAAUUCCAGUCACCUUAAAUGUAACCCAAAAUACUUGGUCGAACUCAUUCAUUUUGGCCCGCCUUAGUUGACUCCCAUUUAUUUGUCCGCUAUUAUAGAUCUACUCAUUAUCAAUCACCAUAAUAAAGCUCCACUUCUUGUAGUUUCAGUUUCACCUGUGCCUUUGAUUAUUUAGAACAAUUUAGACUUUAAUGAUAUGGUCCAAUGUUACCCCUUAUGACUUGAAUCGGGUAAUAGUCAUUUAUGUCAUAUUGCAAUUGCAUAGGUAUAUAUAUGUUUUUUCAUAUUUUCGACAAUGUGUCAUUGUAUUUUAUGUAACUUUUUUUAAUAGGUAACAUCCAAUUUUAUUUUUGUCUAUUUUUGUAUAUGACUUAUAGGUAGUCUUCUAAUUUAUGUUCCUAACUUAUAGAUAAAAAUUUUUAAAAGAAGCAAAAAUGGACAAAUUUGCCCUUAUUUAUUUUUUGAUUUCCUAAGAAAUCCUUUACAUUUGCAUGUCUUUGAUUUGAAAGUUGAGAGGUUAUUCUGUCUUUUUUCAAAAAGUUUUGGCUUUUUCCAAAAGUGAAAGUUUUUUUAUGAGUAAAACCUAAAUUUACUUUAAUGUGUAAUGUGAAAUUGUAUUUUAUCCAUAUAUUAGGAAUAUUAUCAAAGAAAGAAUUUAAAUUUUAAAUUCUGAAAUUCAAUUACAAGGAAAUAAUGCAUUAAAUUUAGAUUUUCAAUGUGGUUUCCUUAUUUACCUCAAAGGGUAAAAUUGACACAACAAAAAAAGUAAUAAAUGUCAAAGAACCUACAUCUAAAACUAAAAACGCGAGGACUAAACCCAAUAACAGCUAUUGACAGUGUGCCUAUGGAUGAGGAAGAGAAAGUUGUGCUUGACUGAUGAUUGACGAAAACUUUCGCAAGCAAAUCCUCUCUAGCAUUGCUCGUGCAAUUAAGGAGCUGUAUGGGUUUGGUGUUGUAUGAUAGAGUGUAUUAAGGUGUAUCAUAGGUAUUUUUGGUAGUUAAAUAGGGUGUACUUAGUUAAUUUUACAUUUUAAUUUAAAUAUUAAGGUGUACUUAGAUCAUAGGGUACACCCAGUUAAUUCUAGAAUUCGUUUAACCACACUCUAUUAUUAUUAACAGUUUUCUAUCAAAACAAACCCAACCUUAAGGUCCUUAACUAUUGGCUUGCAACCAUAUAUAAUUACUGUGGUGACCUUCUCGAAUCAUCAAUUUUUAUUCAUCUAAGUUGUUGAUCAACUGUUGCAGGCAAGUUAUUCUCCUGAACUCGAGUCCCAUCAAGAACGGGUCAAGGGGGUGAGUAAUUGUCUCAAUUCCACAUGUAAGCAAACAAAGGCCUCACAAAACUCUCCAAAAUAUACGCAUUCUUUGCUUCUUUUCCCUUUAUAAGAAGAAGAAAGCCCUGUCUAAUUCAUCAUCAGCAAUACAUAGAAUAGAACCAACACAAGCAAACUCAAAAUCAACAAUGUCGACAAAGUCUAGCACUACUGUCCUUGCCUUUGCCUUUUGUUUCGUGUCCCUCCUUAGUUUCGCUUACUCCAACACCACCGACGACAAAAUCUACCUCACCGGCCUGGUCUACUGUGACAACUGCCAAUUGAAGUCUAUGACCGAGAUCAGUAAGAUGAUUCCAG
RNAcentral lists this long non-coding RNA (32703 nucleotides) under Prunus persica (peach). RNAcentral's name for it is "long non-coding RNA (PPER_LNC005195)". Lineage: Eukaryota; Viridiplantae; Streptophyta; Magnoliopsida; Rosales; Rosaceae. The record is from RNAcentral.